CCCACCGUGUUCAGGGACAACCCUGUGAUCAUGGUUUUGGUCACAUAGCUUCCAAGUGAGUGUUGUGCAAACAUUUGCUAGGAUCUCUCGGGGAGCCUGUUAGAAAAGAAACUCCUGAGCCUGCUCCAGAGCUUCUGUUCAGCAGGCCUGAGGUGGGACCAUACACCUGUCUUUUCAGCAAGCCCCCCCCCACCUCUGAGGAUGCACCCCAAAGCUAGAGAAUUCCUGCUCUGAGCCAUCUCUGAAAGCACCAAGAGCCAGGUCAGGAAGAUUCCUGCAGCUGCUGAGUUAGUACUUUUAAGAAAGUACUGGAUUCCCUCUCACAAUGGGACUUUGAUUUUUUUAAGAAAAAGGUUUCAUAAGUUUUCAAAUAACCUGGAGCAGUUGAGCAAACUUAAUGUGCAGCGUGGUCCCUGCUGGCUGGGUUUGAGGGGCUGGGUCUCUCUGAGUGGAUGCUGGUGAGGUGCAGAGGAAGAAGAAAAGGUGCCUGAGGGCCUGUGUGGAAGGCCUGUCACACAGCACAUCCUGGGAAAUCUGUCCAGGAAGCAGCCAGGCGGGCAUCAGCCAGGCGGGCAUCAGCAUCUUCACUGUGCAGAUGAGAAACUGAGGCCGCAGAGGUGAAGGGACAUGCCCAGGAUCACUAAGGCAAGACGGGGGAAGAGCAGAGAUCUUGGGCAUGAUCUCGGCUCACUGCAACCUCCACCUCCCAGGUUCAAGGGAUUCUCCUGCUUCAGCCUCCCAAGGAGCUGGGAUUACAGGUGCCCGCCACCACGCCCGGCUAAUUUUUGUAUGUUUAGUAGAGACAGGGUUUCACCAUGUUGGCCAGGCUGGUCUCGAAUUCCUGAUCUCAAGUGAUCCGCCUUGCUCUGUCCCUUAGGGACCUCAGCUUAGUGUUCCACACACUGGCAGAUCGCCUCGUUCUUCUCAGGGCUCAGUGUUUUCCUGAGUCUGAACCACGAUCUGGGUAGCCAUCCCCUGGCGAGGACCAUUCGGGGUUCCAGCAGUCACAUGCCACGGUAAACAAGCUUCGUAAACAUCCCACGACAAAGGUGGGAGAGAAUCCCAGUAGGGACAAUGACUACAGGUGGAAUUGCUGGGAAAAAGUAUGUCGGUUUUAAGUGUUGAUAACUGGUCCUUUAUUGGUCGUGGUCAUUCAUUCUUCUGCCAGGCGGGGCUGGUGUUCCUAUAUCCUCUCCUCACCAACAGAGCGUCUUAUGUUUAUUUGUUGGCAACGUGGCAGGUGAAACAUGUACCCUGUCAUUAAAAAAAAUUAUACUUGGCUGGGCACGGUGGCUCACACCUGUAAUCCCAGAGCUUGGGAAGCUGAGGUGGGUGGAUUGCUUGAGGCCCGGAGCUCGAGGCUAGCUUGGGCAGCACAACGAGACCCUGUUUCUACAAAAAAUACAAAAAUUAGUGGGGUGUAGUAGUGCACGCCUGUAGUCCCAGCUACUGGGGAGGCUGAGGUGGGAGGAUCACUUGAGCCUGUCUCAGAACAAACAAACAAACAAACAAAAAUAAGAAAAAAAUACAUAGUUUUAAAACAGUUUUAAACACAUUUGGGAAAAUAUAGGCAGUAGAAAUAGCAGUUGUGCUGUUAAUGCCUCAGACAGGGCUGGGCUCGUAGUAGGUGCUCAAUAAAUAUGUAUUAAGUAAGUGAAUAAGGAAGAAAAUCCCAUGGCUCUGCCAACAAGAAACACUUCUGUCAACAUUUCACUGUGUUUGUUUUCCUGAGUAUUUUUUCCUCUACAUAAUUUAGCUUUGUUUUCCAUUCAUUAUGCUCACCCGUGCAGACACAGUUUUUAAUCUUGUUUCUUUUUUUUCACUUCACGUUGUUGACAUGUGUGUUUCUCUCUUCUAAGCAGCGUUUCAGCAUCUCUAUAAAACCCUCACAGGUGAUCCCUAGAAACACAGCCAGUGGCCCGGAAGCUGCACUGUUUUGUGCACCGCAGGGAUGGGCACAGAUGGGGCUGCCUGCCCUCCUCCUGGAAGGAGGGAGAACCCAGUCUGGCCUGGAGUGGUCAAGAGCUAACUCUAGACUCAGCAAGACCUACUUCUCUCUCCUGCCCCUACUUCCUUGCUGCUGACCUGGGCAAGUCGCUGAAGCCUCUCCGUGCCUCAGUCUGCUCGUGCGUAAGAUGGGCACAGGGCACACUGCCUACUUGAUUGGGCUCAACCACGUGCAGUAAGUAGCUGGUGUCUGGCAAGAGCCCUCAGGAAACAGUAACCCCAUUAAUUCAAAUGCACGUGCCUGGAACAGGCUCUGGGGGGCCAGCCCGGGAGUCCCACUCCAUGAUGGCCACCCUGGGGCCUGGCAGGCUGGGCUGGCAUCCCAGGCCCACCGGAUACUGGCUGUGCACCCCGGCCAGGCCACACAUCUCUGAGCCUCACUUUCCCGUGUGUGAGAUGAGGCUAGAAGCUGCUUUCUCUUGCGUGUGUGGGGAUUGGCGGUGACAACACGGCCAGGAGCCCAGGCCCAGCCUACGCGAGCAGCCUCGCUCCAGGCCACACGCCCCACUCCUGACAGCUCUGUGCAGCGAGUUCGUGCGCGAGCGGGUGGCUGUCUGCCAGGCGAGGGGCGCGGGUGCCCAAGAGGGCUUCACUGCUUCUGGAAAGAUCACAAGGAAAAACCACCUCCGCGGCGGGACGCUACCCGCGGGCCGCUGCGGUCCCGCUCGCGGCCGGCAGGGGGCAGGAUGUCCCCGCGAGUCGCCCGUGUCUUCGGGUGUCCUCAGGUCACCCCGCACCGCUCGCAGCCUCCGCGCCUAGUUAAAGGGCGACGCACUCAUUUCUGCAAAGAAGGAGCCCAGCGGCCCCUCCCCGGGGAACUCUUUCCAUCAACUCGGGGCCUAAUAAUUUACAUUUAAUUUGUUAGCGGUUUAAUGUUUAAUUUUAAAAGCGAGAUGAUUCAUUACCAUAUUAAUAAAUAAUAACAUUUAUUAUUCUCCUAAUGAGUGUCCAAAAUACAGAAGCAAUUACAUGUUUUAUAUAUUUUCUCGUAAUUUGAGACACCAGAGCGUUAAUUACAGAGACUCACGCGUGGACCCCAUUCUGAUCCAGGGUCCUGAUCCUGCCUUUGUUUCGGUCUCUGAACCAGCCGCCCUCCGGGGCUUCUGCAAUUCCCUCAAUUAGAGGAGAGGAAGUCGUACGUGACGAAGCUGGGGCUCUCACAGAACCCCGGCGCCCCAGACCCAGGAGCUGCAAGACCUCAGCUCCCCGUGCCCACACUCGGAGACCCAGGCCCCUCCCAGUCCCCCGUCUCCUCUGUGCAGGGUUCUUCAGGAAGAAUCGGAAAGAGGCCCCCCGACCCACAACCAGCCUCGCAUUCCCUCCUCCCGCAGGGAUCCAUUGAGCUGGGGGGUGGGACUAUCCUCACUUCACAGAUGGGGAAACUGAGUCCUGGAGAGAGACGCUCCGGUGUCCUCAGCUGGUGAGGGGCAGAUCCGGGAGCCACGUCCCACGCAGUCGGUUGGCCCCAAGCUUGGUUCCUGCCUCAACCCCAGCGCAGGUUGCAGCAGGCCCGCGUAGGAGGGCGGCCUGGGUCUGGACAGAUCCACAGCCGGCCAACGCCCCUGGCUAGCUCUCUAUGGCUUUGCUUCUUCUCUUGACUUGCCAAGUUCUUCUUGUUCAUUGUAGAAAAUGUGGAAGGUGAGGCCGGGAGCGGUGGCUCACGCCUGUAAUCCUAGCACUUUGGGAGGCCGAGGCGGGCAGAUUGCCUGAGCUCAGGAGUUCGAGACCAGCCUGGGCAACAUGGUGAAACACGUCUCUACUAAAAAAAAAAAAAAAAAAAAAAAAAAAAUUUGCUGGGCGUGACGGCAGGCGCCUGUAGUCCCAGUGGGAGUUUGGGGAGGCUGAGGCAGGAGAAUCACUUGAACCCGGGAAGCAGAGAUUGCAGUGAGCCGAGAUCGUGCCACUGCACUCCAAUCUAGCGACAGAGCAAGACUCCGUCUCAAAAAAAAAAAAAAAAAAAAAAGUGGAAGGUGAAAAAAACACGGAGAGACAGCAAAGCUGGCAAUGACAUAGCUCCAAAAAUCCCACUUCUCAGAUAAGAUGCAGGCAGUAAGGGCCUGGAGUUUUAUGUAUCCUGAUGUUUGAAAGGGCUUGGACAGGGCACUUCCUCCCUCCAUAGCUCUUCUGUCCUUAGGAAUCCCUCCCUUCUGGAGGGGAAGGGUGGGGGUUUUCCUGUUUGGUCCCCAGGGAAGGAAGUUCAGAGACAGAGGCCCACUCAGGGCCACCCCCUGGCCUGCACCCCUGAAAUGCAAUUUGGAUAAUAUGGAAAAUUACUAGGAAGAAAAAACGCUAUAAUCCCCCCACCUAGAGAUAACCAGGCGUUCUGGUAUAUACCUAUUGAGGACUUUUUUCCCAAGCAAAUACUCAGAAAGAGACUUCCUCCCAAUAGGCAUGAGAUCUUACUCCACGUGCAGUUUGUCUUAUCUUGAUUUUUUUCCAGUAAUCUUUUAAGAGUUUCCCAUGCCAUGUAGUCAUUCUUCAAAAACCCACUUUGAACAGCUGCGUAAUAUUCCGCUGUGGAGGAGUGCCCUGCAGUGUAGAGAAAUGAGUUAUUUACGCUGAAGUCUGUUAUUACAUGGACAUCUUCCCUUUUCUGACCCUGCAAUGACCACACUCAUAGGUGAGUCUCUCUGGAAAUCCUUGACUACCUCCUUAGGGUCCAUUCUUAGAAGUGGAAUUACUGGGUUAGAGGGCAUGAGUGCCUUGAGGGCGGCUGUCUCCCUCUACCUGCAUGCCUGCCAGGGCAAACCCGUGCAUGCUCCCAGGACAGGCCUGGCAGGGCGUGUCUCCCUGCUGCACCCUUGGUACCCUUGGCAGGGCUAACAUUAUCCUCUAAACCAGGUCUUUGCAGCACUUACCCUUUUCAAGGUGCUACUGUACCUCUCCUUUAAGGAG
Molecule: long non-coding RNA, 4902 nt
Filed under: Homo sapiens (human)
Lineage: Eukaryota; Metazoa; Chordata; Mammalia; Primates; Hominidae
Description: HSALNT0216206
Source: RNAcentral